CCCUUCGGAACACAAUACCCUCGGGAAACUGAGGCUAAUAGUGUAUACCGUACCACCACUGGAAUGAGUGGUACGCCAAACGCUCCGGCGCCGAAGGAUGUGGCUGCGGCCGAUUAGGUAGACGGUGGGGUAACGGCCCACCGUGCCAAUAAUCGGUAUGGGUCAUGAGAGUGAGAACCCAGAGACGGAAUCUGAGACAAGAUUCCGGGCCCUACGGGGCGCAGCAGGCGCGAAACCUUUACACUGCACGACAGUGCGAUAGGGGGAUCCCAAGUGCACAGGCAUAGCGCCUGUGCUUUUCGGUACCCUAAGGCGGUACCAGAAUAAGGGCUGGGCAAGACCGGUGCCAGCCGCCGCGGUAAUACCGGCAGCCCAAGUGAUGGCCGAUCUUAUUGGGCCUAAAGCGUCCGUAGCUGGCCGCGCAAGUCCAUCGGGAAAUCCACCUGCU
RNAcentral lists this ribosomal RNA (448 nucleotides) under Halorubrum californiense. RNAcentral's name for it is "bacterial SSU rRNA". It matches the Rfam family "Archaeal small subunit ribosomal RNA", at positions 112 to 559 of the family's 1478-position model. The record is from RNAcentral. Lineage: Archaea; Methanobacteriati; Methanobacteriota; Halobacteria; Halobacteriales; Haloferacaceae.